UAUGUGCGGCCGACUAUUGGCGCCGUGUCUUGCCAUUCGUGUGAGCUAUCUUACUUUGCCUUUCAAGUGCUUGCGUGAUGUUACCUGACCUAUGGGUAUUGGUGCUUCAUACAUAGUUGCCUCGCGGUGGACGCCUCUGGGUGUGUUGCUGCGGCCAUAUGGUGAUUGCGGCGUCGCCUCGUGGUGCUGGUUCUCGUGACUGGUGCUAUCAAGGCAGCCUUGCUCUCACGGUUGGUUUCGGAUGUUGCUAAUGAUAAAGCCUCGUGGCCCAUUUGGUUGCCUCGGGGCCUGACCCUAAGAAUGCUCUCCGACUUUGAGAACAUCGUUGAACAUGUGUUGCCUCUGCCCUCUCCACAGUUAGUGGUAGGAUUACGCAAUAUACUUGAUUCCGAUCCCCAAAUAAGUCGGACGAGCUUGGCCCGCUCAACAACGACAACCGGCCCGAUAGUUGCAUGCACAUCGCCACACAAGUGGCGGUGGGUGGGUGACUACCGGUGUUGGA
Molecule: unclassified non-coding RNA, 502 nt
Filed under: Anthoxanthum gracile
Lineage: Eukaryota; Viridiplantae; Streptophyta; Magnoliopsida; Poales; Poaceae
Description: partial external transcribed spacer
Source: RNAcentral